AUGGCUAAGCAAGUUUCAUGGACACCUAACAUGUCCAAGUUCAUGCUAACAUGGCUAAGUGAUUUGGUCUCUAGUGGCAAUAGAACAAGUACUGCAUUCAAGCAAUCACAGUUCAACGCUUGUGCCAUUGCUUUGAAUGAGCAUUUCCAACUUAGCUUGAAUGGAGAUCAGGUUAAAAAUCAUAAUAGGACAUGGAAGCGAAAACUGCAGAAAAUAGUGAAACUCAAGGACUUGAGUGGUGCACUAUGGGAUGAGGACAAGUCUAUGAUUGUUCUUGAUCAUGAGCAUUACACAAAUCAUGUUAAGGCUCAUCCAGAGGACGAACAGUACCUUAACAAGACUAUUAUUCAUUAUAAGGAGAUGAUGAAUAUAGCUGGAGGGAGCAUGGCUACAGGGCAAUAUGCAAAAGACUCAAGUGACCCUCUUGCUACAGAAGUGGUUAAUCUUGAAGAAGAGACAACCAAGAAACCCACUGCCCCACAUGAAGAGGUUGCACAAUCAACCAAUGCAGGUUCAUUCGGUCCCAAACCAAAAAAGGCCAAACCAAAUCCUUGUGCGGAAGACAGGUUGCAUGCCACCAUACUUGCAUCUAGUGAAAGAAUUGCUAUUGCCAUAGAGAAGAGUUCUAGCACCUAG
RNAcentral lists this ribosomal RNA (636 nucleotides) under Triticum aestivum (bread wheat). Its description in RNAcentral is "partial small subunit ribosomal RNA". Lineage: Eukaryota; Viridiplantae; Streptophyta; Magnoliopsida; Poales; Poaceae. The record is from RNAcentral.